This 848-nucleotide ribosomal RNA is filed under the name uncultured bacterium. Its description in RNAcentral is "bacterial SSU rRNA". It matches the Rfam family "Bacterial small subunit ribosomal RNA", at positions 9 to 873 of the family's 1533-position model. The record is from RNAcentral.
AGAGUUUGAUCCUGGCUCAGGAUGAACGCUGGCGGCGUGCCUAAUACAUGCAAGUCGAACGCACAGCGAAAGGCGCUUGCACCUUUCAAGUGAGUGGCGAACGGGUGAGUAACACGUGGAUAACCUACCUCAAGGUUGGGGAUAACAUUUGGAAACAGAUGCUAAUACCGAAUAAAACUUCGUAUCGCAUGAUACAAGGUUAAAAGGCGCUACGGCGUCACCUAGAGAUGGAUCCGCGGUGCAUUAGUUAGUUGGUGGGGUAAAGGCCUACCAAGACAAUGAUGCAUAGCCGAGUUGAGAGACUGAUCGGCCACAUUGGGACUGAGACACGGCCCAAACUCCUACGGGAGGCUGCAGUAGAGAAUCUUCCACAAUGGGCGAAAGCCUGAUGGAGCAACGCCGCGUGUGUGAUGAAGGCUUUCGGGUCGUAAAGCACUGUUGUAUGGGAAGAACAGCUAGAGUAGGGAAUGACUUUAGUUUGACGGUACCAUACCAGAAAGGGACGGCUAAAUACGUGCCAGCAGCCGCGGUAAUACGUAUGUCCCGAGCGUUAUCCGGAUUUAUUGGGCGUAAAGCGAGCGCAGACGGUUGAUUAAGUCUGAUGUGAAAGCCCGGAGCUCAACUCCGGAAAGGCAUUGGAAACUGGUCAACUUGAGUGCAGUAGAGGUAAGUGGAACUCCAUGUGUAGCGGUGGAAUGCGUAGAUAUAUGGAAGAACACCAGCGGCGAAGGCGGCUUACUGGACUGUAACUGACGUUGAGGCUCGAAAGUGUGGGUAGCAAACAGGAUUAGAUACCCUGGUAGUCCACACCGUAAACGAUGAAAACUAGGUGUUAAGAGGUUUCCGCC